Molecule: ribosomal RNA, 294 nt
Filed under: uncultured bacterium
Lineage: Bacteria
Description: partial 16S ribosomal RNA
Rfam family: Bacterial small subunit ribosomal RNA
Source: RNAcentral
UUGUCCCUACGGGACGCAGCAGUGGGGGAUAUUGCACAAUGGGGGGAACCCUGAUGCAGCGACGCCGCGUGGGUGAAGAAGCGCCUCGGCGCGUAAAGCCCUGUCAGCAGGGAAGAAAAUGACGGUACCUGAAGAAGAAGCCCCGGCUAACUACGUGCCAGCAGCCGCGGUAAUACGUAGGGGGCGAGCGUUAUCCGGAUUCACUGGGUGUAAAGGGAGCGUAGACGGCCAAGCAAGCCAGGGGUGAAAGCCCGGGGCCCAACCCCGGGACUGCCCUUGGAACUGCUUGGCUGG